GACGAACGCUGGCGGUGUGCUUAACACAUGCAAGUGGUGCGACGAACCAGAGCUUGCUCUGGGGCAAAGCCGCGAACGGGUGAGUAACACGUGGGUAAUCUACCCCGAUGACCGGGACAACCCGAGGAAACUCGGGCUAAUACCGGAUGUGGUGCGGAGACAUAAGUCUCUUCACUAAAGGUAGCUUCGGCUUCCGCAUUGGGAGGGGCCCGCGGCCCAUUAGCUUGUUGGUGGGGUCAAGGCCUACCAAGGCAACGAUGGGUAGCUGGUCUGAGAGGACGAUCAGCCACACUGGGACUGAGACACGGCCCAGACUCCUACGGGAGGCAGCAGUGGGGAAUCUUGCGCAAUGCGCGAAAGCGUGACGCAGCAACACCGCGUGAGGGAAGAAGGCCUUAGGGUUGUAAACCUCUUUCAGAUGGGACGAAGGUUCUCCGGUGAAUAGCCGAGAGGAUGGACGGUACCGUCAGAAGAAGCUCCGGCUAACUACGU
RNAcentral lists this ribosomal RNA (492 nucleotides) under uncultured bacterium. RNAcentral describes it as "partial 16S ribosomal RNA". It matches the Rfam family "Bacterial small subunit ribosomal RNA", at positions 28 to 506 of the family's 1533-position model. The record is from RNAcentral.